GUGGCCGUGGCAGAUCGGUAAUGCGCUUGAAUGUGGCUCAAGUAUAUAUGGGUUCGAGUCCCAUCGGUCACCCCU
Molecule: transfer RNA, 75 nt
Filed under: Candidatus Endobugula sertula (Bugula neritina bacterial symbiont)
Lineage: Bacteria; Pseudomonadati; Pseudomonadota; Gammaproteobacteria; Cellvibrionales; Cellvibrionaceae
Description: tRNA-His
Rfam family: tRNA
About the family: Transfer RNA (tRNA) molecules are approximately 80 nucleotides in length. Their secondary structure includes four short double-helical elements and three loops (D, anti-codon, and T loops).
Source: RNAcentral